UAGGUGCACCCCGAGUAUUUUUCUUGGAGGGGACUCCACUCCCAGCCGCUCACCACAGGAGCAGACAAGGACCUCCUGAAGCUGCGGACAAACGGUAUGUUUUACACUGCUGGAGGGAUACUAACUGGAGUGUUAAUAAUUGUAUGUCUUAUUCGUAAAUGUCCAGGUAUUUUGUGUUGAAAGUAUUUGUGUAAGUGUAUGUGUUUGAAACAAAGUGGAGUGAGUCACUCCACGAAGAACACAGUCAGAGACAAUACUUGUUUGUUUGGUUAUCAUUCUAAAUUAUAUACUCUUGUGGUGUGAAUGAGAUGUG
Molecule: long non-coding RNA, 313 nt
Organism: Oxyura jamaicensis (ruddy duck)
Lineage: Eukaryota; Metazoa; Chordata; Aves; Anseriformes; Anatidae
Exons: 2
Source: RefSeq, a predicted model, not a curated record